CUACGGGUGGCUCCAGUGGGGAAUAUUGGACAAUGGGCGCAAGCCUGAUCCAGCAAUGCCGCGUGUGUGAAGAAGGCCUGCGGGUUGUAAAGCACUUUCAGUAAGGAGGAAAUCUUGCAGGGUAAUAUCCUGUGAGCUUGACGUUACUUACAGAAGAAGCACCGGCUAACUCCGUGCCAGCAGCCGCGGUAAUACGGAGGGUGCGAGCGGUAAUCGGAAUUACUGGGCGUAAAGCGCGCGUAGGCGGCUGAGUAAGUCGGAUGUGAAAGCCCUGGGCUUAACCUGGGAAUUGCAUUCGAUACUGCUCAGCUAGAGUAUGGUAGAGGAUAGUGGAAUUCCUGGUGUAGCGGUGACAUGCGUAGAUAUCAGGAGGAACAUCAGUGGCGAAGGCGGCUAUCUGGACCAAUACUGACGCUGAGGUGCGAAAGCGUGGGGAGCAAACAGGAUUAGAUACCCCAGUAGUC
This 464-nucleotide ribosomal RNA is filed under the name uncultured bacterium. Its description in RNAcentral is "partial 16S ribosomal RNA". It matches the Rfam family "Bacterial small subunit ribosomal RNA", at positions 339 to 795 of the family's 1533-position model. The record is from RNAcentral.